RNAcentral lists this ribosomal RNA (491 nucleotides) under uncultured bacterium. Its description in RNAcentral is "partial 16S ribosomal RNA". It matches the Rfam family "Bacterial small subunit ribosomal RNA", at positions 29 to 506 of the family's 1533-position model. The record is from RNAcentral.
AGUGAACGCUGGCGGUAGGCCUAACACAUGCAAGUCGAACGGCAGCACAGCAAGAGCUUGCUCUUACGGGUGGCGAGUGGCGGACGGGUGAGGAAUACAUCGGAAUCUGCUUUUUCGUGGGGGAUAACGUAGGGAAACUUACGCUAGUACCGCAUACGACCUACGGGUGAAAGCAGGGGAUCUUCGGACCUUGCGCGAUUGAAUGAGCCGAUGUCGGAUUAGCUAGUUGGCGGGGUAAAGGCCCACCAAGGCGACGAUCCGUAGCUGGUCUGAGAGGAUGAUCAGCCACACUGGAACUGAGACACGGUCCAGACUCCUACGGGAGGCAGCAGUGGGGAAUAUUGGACAGUGGGCGCAAGCCUGAUCCAGCCAUACCGCGUGGGUGAAGAAGGCCUUCGGGUUGUAAAGCCCUUUUGUUGGGAAAGAAAAGCAGCAGGUUAAUACCCCGCUGUUCUGACGGUACCCAAAGAAUAAGCACCGGCUAACUUCGU